UGAAACCAAGGGUUAGAUACCCUGGUAUUCUGAUCCAGAAAAAAUUAACCAUGCCACUAAAAGAUAAAGGCUUUAAAACUAAAGAAUUUGGCGGUAUCUCCAAUCAAAUUAGAGGAACCUGUCCUGUAAUCGACGAUCCGCGAUUAAUCUUACCUUGUAAAGUAUUGCUUUCUUUAAUUAUUACACAUAUAAUAAUUAUAGUUAGACCAGCCGGUAUACCGCCAUUUUGAAGUAAUUUUUGAAGAGAUUACUGUAAUUUUGAUUUUUAGGACUAAGUAAAAACAAGACAAAUAUAGACCGAAAAGCGUAGAGCUUUUAAUGAAAGUGAAUGAGUUUCAUAUUUAGUAAAUUAGGUCAAGGUGCCGCCAAUAACAAGAGUAGAGAUGGGUUACAAUUUUAUUGAAAAUUACGGAUGAAAAUAUUUGAAAAGUUAUCUGAAGGCGGAUUUAUCAGUAAUAUAAGUUUAAUACCCUUAUAUGAAGACGAACUGGACUACGUACAUAUCCCCCCGUCGCUA
RNAcentral lists this ribosomal RNA (517 nucleotides) under Lysmata vittata. Its description in RNAcentral is "partial small subunit ribosomal RNA". The record is from RNAcentral. Lineage: Eukaryota; Metazoa; Arthropoda; Malacostraca; Decapoda; Hippolytidae.